Molecule: small RNA, 71 nt
Filed under: Microcebus murinus (gray mouse lemur)
Lineage: Eukaryota; Metazoa; Chordata; Mammalia; Primates; Cheirogaleidae
Description: Y RNA (ENSMICG00000047641.1)
Source: RNAcentral
GGUAGUGGAUUAUCAGAACUUAUUAACAUUAGUGUCACUAAAGUUGGUGUUUCAACCCCCCACUGCUAAAA